This 273-nucleotide ribosomal RNA is filed under the name uncultured Mollicutes bacterium. RNAcentral describes it as "partial 16S ribosomal RNA". It matches the Rfam family "Bacterial small subunit ribosomal RNA", at positions 1108 to 1382 of the family's 1533-position model. Lineage: Bacteria; Bacillati; Mycoplasmatota; Mollicutes. The record is from RNAcentral.
UUGCUAGUUACUAACAUUGAGUUGAGGACUCUAGUGAGACUGCCAGUGACAAACUGGAGGAAGGUGGGGAUGACGUCAAAUCAUCAUGCCCUUUAUGACCUGGGCUACAAACGUACUACAAUGGCCAAUACAAAGAGAUGCGAAGUUGUGAGAUGGAGCGAACCUCAAAAAAAUGGUCUCAGUUCAGAUUGAAGUCUGCAACUCGACUUCAUGAAGGCGGAAUCGCUAGUAAUCGCGGGUCAGCAGACCGCGGUGAAUACGUUCCCGGGUUUU